GACGAACGCUGGCGGCGUGCUUAACACAUGCAAGUCGAACGGAAAGGCCCUGCUUGCAGGGUACUCGAGUGGCGAACGGGUGAGUAACACGUGGGUGAUCUGCCCUGCACUUCGGGAUAAGCCUGGGAAACUGGGUCUAAUACCGGAUAGGAGCCAUUUUUAGUGUGAUGGUUGGAAAGUUUUUUCGGUGUAGGAUGAGCUCGCGGCCUAUCAGCUUGUUGGUGGGGUAAUGGCCUACCAAGGCGGCGUCGGGUAGCCGGCCUGCGAGGGUGGACGGCCACAUUGGGACUGAGAUACGGCCCAGACGCCUACGGGAGGCAGCAGUGGGGAAUAUUGCACAAUGGGCGCAAGCCUGAUGCAGCGACGCCGCGUGGGGGAUGACGGCCUUCGGGUUGUAAACUACUUUCGCUAGGGACGAAGCUUUUGUGACGGUACCUAGAUAAGAAGCACCGGCUAACUACGUG
RNAcentral lists this ribosomal RNA (464 nucleotides) under uncultured bacterium. RNAcentral describes it as "partial 16S ribosomal RNA". It matches the Rfam family "Bacterial small subunit ribosomal RNA", at positions 28 to 507 of the family's 1533-position model. The record is from RNAcentral.